UUCACAUGACGGGAAACCAAGAUAAAUAUAUACUGUAAAUCGCUUAACACACGUACUCCAUUGUUCUAACUACCUAAUAUUCUGUUUCUACCGAAAGAGUUAAAAGUCCUAUAUGCAUGCCUAUCUGGUCUAUUUAAUAGAGUAAAAAUAACAAGUUAAAAAUAACAUGGACAAGGGGAGCUGACGACGAUGGAGAGGCCAAGGAAGGAUGGACGGGGGAGCGAGACUACGAACGCCUUGGUCCUCUCAUCAGAGCCACAGCGCGCCGGCGUCCUUGAGUAUGGGCACGAGGUCGCCGGAGAUGUGCACGGCCAUGAGCCGGUCGAGGCCGCCGAGGAGCCUGCCCCCGACGAACACGGCCGGGAGGGCAACGUCGCCGCCGCCGUCGACGACCCCGGCAAUAAGCUUCGCCUCGGCGCCGUCGGCGACCUCGUGCACGGCGGGGUUGACCCCGAGACCCUGCAGCAGCCGCUUCACCACGUGGCUGAGGCAGCACCCGCGCUUCCCCACCACGAGCACGGGGCACUCCGCCACCGCCCGUCGCACCUCCUCCCCCCUCGCCGCCGCCUCCGCCCCCGCCGACGGCUGCUGCUGCUGUGCAGCCGCGAGCAGCCUCUCCUCCUCCGCCACCGCCGCCGCGGCCUCGACGCCCAUCGCCGGCGCGGGCCGCGGCCACGGCCGGCCGGCGCUGUACGGGAUGGCCUGGUACAUUACUCCCUCUUCCUCUCCUUCCUGGGGCGCGCGCGAGUUUUUACACGGCGUCCUUGUUCUCGUUUCGGUUGGGAGUUGCGAUUUGUGGCGUCGUGUGAUGGGC
This 814-nucleotide unclassified non-coding RNA is filed under the name Zea mays. Its description in RNAcentral is "misc RNA Zm00001eb343730". The record is from RNAcentral. Lineage: Eukaryota; Viridiplantae; Streptophyta; Magnoliopsida; Poales; Poaceae.